This 318-nucleotide long non-coding RNA is filed under the name Theobroma cacao (cacao). Its description in RNAcentral is "long non-coding RNA (TCAC_LNC000752)". The record is from RNAcentral. Lineage: Eukaryota; Viridiplantae; Streptophyta; Magnoliopsida; Malvales; Malvaceae.
AUGUUUUUGCGUAGCCCUUGGGGUCACUAAAGAUUUGUGUCUUGAAAUUUUGGAUCACAGGGUAAGCUUUUGCAAUUAGCGGGCUUUCAAAGCAGCCAUAUUGUGGGUCUCGGUAUUUACAUGGAGGUGGUGGCGGCGGAGGGGGAGGCGGCGGCGGCGGUGGCGGUGGGGGAGGCGGCGGCGGCGGUGGCGGGGGCGGAGGCGGCGGCGGCGGUGGGGGAGGCGGCGGCGGCGGCGACGGUGGGGGUGGACAUUCAGGUUCAGGCGGGGGAGGAGGGGGUGGACAUUCCUCGAUGUGAGAAGGGGCAGGAGCUUCCC